GAGCUAGCAAAGUGGGAGACUUGACUCCUCCUUGAAGGGGUAAAGGAGAUAGGUCUAGGUGCGGUUGUUCUGGGUCGCUCGUCUCGUCUCGAGGUACAGGUACCGUCGUGGUGGCGGUGCGGCGGCGGGGAGCGAGGGCAUGCUCGAGCAGCUCCUCUAGGAGGAGGCGGAGGGUGGGCUGCUGGGUCGGACGGAGGAGGCGGAGAGGAAGCGGACGUUCCGGACCCCGGCGCGGCGGAGGGUCGGGCCGAAGGCGGCGGCUAAGUAGCUCGUCGUAGUCGUAGCCGGUGGCGGGAACUAGCCGAAGGAGGUGUUGACCCUCCUGCUCGCGCAGGGGGCGAAGGAGAGGUGGUGGCGGAGCGGGAAGAGGGAGGGGCGGGGCCUGGCGCGGAGGACCGAGCGGGAGCUGACGGCGGUGCCGGCGCGGGAGAAGGAGAGUCUCCCUAGACCACGAGUCGUUGAGGAACACACCCUAGAUUUGUGCCCGUAGGCCGCCGCGUAUGGUCACGGGGGCGACGUGUCGUCGAUGCACAGGGGCUGGCGCCGGCACGAGACGGGUCGCCUGCCCACGCUGGUGGCGCUGACGUUGCCCCCGGGGAAGGCGCACCAGAAGCAGAAGUGGCACAUGGCUGAAGUCUAGUACAUACGACCAGAGUGCAGCCACACGCAGAUGAGCAGUCUCUGACCGUGGACCAGGCCACGUGACUUCUUCUAAUCAGUGUCUAGGCUGCGUAACUUCAAGUGUACAGUAAGGUCGGACGAGGAACCCUCCAGAGACGAGAUGAAGUACAGGCUGGCACCCAAGUAGGAUCUCAUACUGAACUGGUCGUUGCAGGAUUAACCCAAGCUCUGCGGCCUGCACUUGAAACUGGGGUAUAAAUUGGAGUACCACCGCCUUCUACCACCUUAUCCUCAAUCGCUUCCGAAGUCAAGGGUAGAGUUUAACACCAGUUCCCUCCUCCCACUACGUCUUACCCAUUAAUCGGCCCAGUAGCUGGACGUUUUAAACGAGGGUGGACGACGAGAGCACCUACGUCUCCGACUUCACUACCAUAACCCUAAACGGCUCCCUCACUUACAGUAAAAGCAAUUGUGCCACCGACCGGAGAAGUGUUAGCUCGAUGUCAGCCUCGCCCACUUCUUCCACACACUAUUAGUACCGAAGACAUUAAACUAAGGUCAACAGUCGAAGACGUGAGGACACCUGGCAGAGUUUAUGGUCCUGGACGACGGCAGCUAGGGAUCACUCCUACAUCCACUACUCCUCCCCCCUCUCCUCCUGUUUUGUCAUCUACUCCGUGUCGUCGACGAACUGUUCCCCAGGUUAUGAUAGUUCCUUCCACCGAAACAGCUGCGGCAACUUGCACGGUCGGUACUGGAGUUACGGUCACUUGUCUCGGUCCACUUACUAAGAAACCUACUACAAAGGUCCUCACGUAGUUUACUUCUUAGCCACUUCCUGUGUCGGUCGCUUCUACUACGAUUCCUGAGUUUCUGGAGACCAUCGUUACCACUCCUACGACGAGGUAGAAACCUCUUUCCGCUAAGAAUUCUUCCAUGACAUAAUAGUAACGGGGAAAGAAACCUGGUCGUUACGACGGUCCUGACGUGUUGACGCACCACUUUAUGAAAUAAGAGAAACUUCAAACGUAACGAGAGGGUUCUAAAGUGUACUUUAAAUUGAAAAUACCUUAUCAAAGUGUUCAUUGAAAACCCUAGUUGUCCUGGGUGUUAAAAUUUCUCCGUGACGGUGACGGGGUUAAUCAGUAUAUGAGGGUGUCUUUUUUCGGUACACUAGGACGUAUACGUUUGAUGAUCAUCAGAACGAACCCUGAACCUUCCUCCUUAACAAACGAUAAAGAUGAAUAGAGAACUUAAGAGUAACUGUAAGGUAUCUUCUGGCAAAUUAGUUACGUCAAAACGAUUAUCUACCAUCUACUACAAAGACUUUUGUCUUUUACGAAAGUAAAGAGUUUUUUUUGAACACGGUACCCAACUAGUAUAGAACUUGAACACAGACCACGUUGUACAGUCGGUAAACGGAAGAUAUAAAUAUAUGUAUACAAAAUAAUGGAAAGAAUGGAUAUGUGAACCUUAUCGUUACGGUCAAACUUGUAGAUACGUAGAUAGAUUUAUCACAUGAGCGUCUUCCAUCUAAAUGAUGUCUUCUAGAGGAGAAAAUUUAGUACAGAAUGUAUUCAAUACGUUAUUACACUAAUCAACCACAAUUUGCUUGGUUAGAUAAUAGUAGUAGUACGAUAUUACUAGUACAACCUGGUCAAUUAGUAAACAUACCUAGAGAAGGACCACUCAAAAGUUAGCAAAUUAUCUUAACUACCAGUACGUAGUUAUACAAAAGAUGGAGAAUCUCAUUUAUACCCAUUAUCAGCAAAAAUUGUUCUUGUAACUAUAUCAGUAAAUGAUCCCCUUUGAGUUUACCAUUGUUGUGUUCGGAUCUGCAUGACAUUUAUUGGAACCCCAACGUCCAUCUCCGAAGUUUACACCAUUACAGUCCAGAGACGACUUGGACACAUUUUUUCUCUGAUCGUUGUCUAACAAGUGACAGACAUUUUACACCAAGUCGGUCUAUAAUUCAAGACUUUAACGGUUCUAUACGGGCUCUGUGCCGUAAUCUACAACGUUGACGUACAAAGUACAAUGGAGCUACCAGUUAUGAGUAGACAACUACACAUAUGUUCAUCGAACUAUGCACAACAACAGUAAGUCGCAAACUAUACAAAAGAAGAAGAAGAAGAAAAAAUGGUUACGAUAACGUUACAAACGGUAUAAGUCAUACACCAACGUUACAAACGGUACGAGGCUUUUCUGACGGUAACAAGACGAGAAAAGACACUGCGCUGUAAGAAACGUAGUCAGAACCUCCCAACAUAUUUGGUAUAACGUACAAGGACACGUACACACUUUACAACGAAAAAUGCAUUUUAAGUAUACAUGAUAUAAAACAGACUGAGUUAAAUAAGACGAUCGUAAUGUACGGAGAAUGUCCUCAAAACGAAAGAUACAUAUAUAGUCAACAUGAUUGUAGAGUUAGACAACGAAACACGACGAUCACGAUGCGACUACCAGUCCGCCCUACAAAGUAGUCAGUAGUCGCGGAACUCAUACUAGGAAAAGAAGAGGCGUUAACCCUUUGUGAAAACAGUACCAUAAUAUCAAAUCUAAGGUCUGAUUUACAUCUGUUCUUAAUUCCGUGGUUUACACCUCCGAAACCGUGGGGCUUCUUCACUUUAUCGCUUACUACAAGUUCUCGACCAGACUUCCUAUCACAGCGUUGAUCCUAAGAUACUACGUUUAACCAACGACUCACCCCUAGUCCCAGUUACUACGGAUUACGGAUUGUAACUUACCAAAUCCCAGACAAACAACAAGACAUGUUGCCGCAUAGAUAGUACACUCCUAGUAAAGUAGAAAUACUUUAUCCUAUUCGUAGUAGCUGAGAAAGAAAGGAACAGACACACUUAGACAAAAACUAUGAGAAACGCCGUAAAGAGACAAACACAAGUCUUGUAUAAACACUCCCAAAGUUUCAUUGACAUAUGAUCGUACAUACCGAAUAGGCCUCUCCGCCUCAGUUGUAUGGUUUAAUCGAAAGGCGUUAACCCUUUGUGAAAACAGUACCAUAACAUCAAAUCUAAGGUCUGAUUUACAUCUGUUCUUAAUUCCGUGGUUUGCACCUCCGAAACCGUGGGGCUUCUUCACUUUAUCGCUCACUACAAGUUCUGAACCAGACUUCCUAUCACAGCGUUGAUCCUAAGAUACUACGUUUAAUCGACGGCUCACCCCCGGUCUCAGUUCCUACGGAUUGUAACCUCGUCAAGUCCCAGACAAUACAACAAGCAUGUUGCUACAAAACUAGAAAACUCUUCGUAAAAGUAUGCAUAAACUCUUCGUAAAGUAUAAACUCUUUAUCCUAUUUGUAACAGUCUGUAUAAAGUAGUCAAAGACAUGAGACAAAUGGGAUAGGUAUACUUAGGCAC
This 3998-nucleotide ribosomal RNA is filed under the name Triticum aestivum (bread wheat). RNAcentral's name for it is "partial small subunit ribosomal RNA". Lineage: Eukaryota; Viridiplantae; Streptophyta; Magnoliopsida; Poales; Poaceae. The record is from RNAcentral.